UUAAUUCGAAGCAACGCGAAGAACCUUACCUAAGCUUGACAUCCCAAUGACAUCUCCUUAAUCGGAGAGUUCCCUUCGGGGACAUUGGGGACAGGUGGUGCAUGGUUGUCGUCAGCUCGUGUCGUGAGAUGUUGGGUUAAGUCCCGCAACGAGCGCAACCCUUGUCUUUAGUUGCCAUCAUUAAGUUGGGCACUCUAGAGAGACUGCCAGGGAUAACCUGGAGGAAGGUGGGGAUGACGUCAAAUCAUCAUGCCCCUUAUGCUUAGGGC
RNAcentral lists this ribosomal RNA (269 nucleotides) under Clostridioides difficile. RNAcentral describes it as "partial 16S ribosomal RNA". It matches the Rfam family "Bacterial small subunit ribosomal RNA", at positions 946 to 1214 of the family's 1533-position model. The record is from RNAcentral. Lineage: Bacteria; Bacillati; Bacillota; Clostridia; Peptostreptococcales; Peptostreptococcaceae.